GGGAACACAUGUAUACCUGUGGAGGAUUCAUUUUGAUAUUUGGCAAAACUAAUACAAUUAUGUAAAGUUUAAAAUAAAAUUGAACAAAAAAAUAAAAAUAAUCAUAUGGGCAACAAAAUCACUUCCUUCUUAUACCUUGUAUUUUAUGCUGAAUUCCAUGUUAACUUUGUCAGGAUGUCCUAAAUAGUUCUACAGUCAACUUUUAAAAAAUUUAAUACGAUACAUUGUGUGUGUGUGUGUGUGUAUAUAUAUAUUUAUACACAUAGAUAAAUGUAUAUAAUUAUAAAGAUUUGGCAAUUACAGCUAUUUUUUACUCCACAGUAAUUGGUGCUUUAGUUGCUUAAAUGGAAGCACCAGCUGAAAAUCCUACCUUGAAAAAUUAACAUCUGGAUAAUCUCUUAUGGUCUCCUCUACAGCUUUGGCUGGUAGAAGACCAAAAGGGAGCACUGAGAAUUGAAAGUGCUUAUUUUUCAUAUUCUAGAAAGGUAAAGGCUGUUCUUCAGUCAAAGUCCCAAGUUGUGAACAAGUAACCACUGGUAAUCAAGAUAACUUCCAAUUAAUUCACAAGCUCUGAAAAUGAAUCAGUGACAUCACACCAAUGACUCGGGUUCCAAAAAUGAGCAAGUUGUCAGCAGCCUCACCACAGUCUUAUGAAACUGGGCAAAUUGAUGACAACGUUACAUUUGUGGACAACAGCUGGUCAAAAGUGCCUCGCUCCAGUGACCACACCGCAGCUCUCCCUCUCCCUGAGCCAUUGAGGACACAGUGAGAAGGCAGCUAUUUUCAAGCCAGAAAGAGAACUCUCACCAGUAACUGAAUUUGUUGGUACCUUGAUCUUGGACAUCUCAGCUUCUAAAACUGUGAGAAAUAAAUGUUUUUUGUUUAAGCC
Bubalus bubalis (water buffalo) is the source of this 889-nucleotide long non-coding RNA. RefSeq lists it as uncharacterized. The record is from RefSeq and is a predicted model, not a curated record. The transcript has 2 exons. NCBI's taxonomy places the organism in Eukaryota, Metazoa, Chordata, Mammalia, Artiodactyla, Bovidae.